CGGCCGCGUCGACACCUGCCUUGUAGCGGGGGAUAACUAUUGGAAACGAUAGCUAAUACCGCAUAACAAUGGAUGACACAUGUCAUUUAUUUGAAAGGGGCAAUUGCUCCACUACAAGAUGGACCUGCGUUGUAUUAGCUAGUAGGUGAGGUAAUGGCUCACCUAGGCGACGAUACAUAGCCGACCUGAGAGGGUGAUCGGCCACACUGGGACUGAGACACGGCCCAGACUCCUACGGGAGGCAGCAGUAGGGAAUCUUCCACAAUGGACGCAAGUCUGAUGGAGCAACGCCGCGUGAGUGAAGAAGGUUUUCGGAUCGUAAAGCUCUGUUGUAAGUCAAGAACGGGUGUGAGAGUGGAAAGUUCACACUGGUGACGGUAGCUUACCGAGAAAGGGACGGCUAACUACGUGCCAGCAGCCGCGGUAAUACGUAGGUCCCGAGCGUUGUCCGGAUUUAGUGGGCGUAAAGCGAGCGCGAGGCGGUUUGAUAAGUCUGAAGUUAAGGCUGUGCUCAACCAUAGUUCGCUUUACGG
This 533-nucleotide ribosomal RNA is filed under the name uncultured bacterium. RNAcentral's name for it is "bacterial SSU rRNA". It matches the Rfam family "Bacterial small subunit ribosomal RNA", at positions 110 to 630 of the family's 1533-position model. The record is from RNAcentral.